GACGAACGCUGGCGGCGUGCUUAACACAUGCAAGUCGAACGGAAAGGCCCUGCUUUUGUGGGGUGCUCGAGUGGCGAACGGGUGUGUAACACGUGAGUAAUCUGCUUUUGACUUUGGGAUAACUUCAGGAAACUGGGGCUAAUACCGGAUAGGAGCUCACGCCGCAUUGUGGGGGGUGGAAAUUUUUGGCGGUUGGGGAUGGACUCGCGGCUUAUCAGCUUGUUGGUGGGGUAGUGGCUUACCAAGGCUUUGACGGGUAGCCGGCCUGAGAGGGUGACCGGCCACAUUGGGACUGAGAUACGGCCCAGACUCCUACGGGAGGCAGCAGUGGGGAAUAUUGCACAAUGGGCGGAAGCCUGAUGCAGCAACGCCGCGUGCGGGAUGACGGCCUUCGGGUUGUAAACCGCUUUCGCCAGUGACGAAGCGUGAGUGACGGUAAUGGGUAAAGAAGCACCGGCUAACUACGUG
This 468-nucleotide ribosomal RNA is filed under the name uncultured bacterium. RNAcentral describes it as "partial 16S ribosomal RNA". It matches the Rfam family "Bacterial small subunit ribosomal RNA", at positions 28 to 507 of the family's 1533-position model. The record is from RNAcentral.